GCCUUAAUACAUGCAAGUCGAGCGCAGGAAGCAGGGGGAUCCCCUUCGGGGGUGAAGCCUGUGGAAUGAGCGGCGGACGGGUGAGUAACACGUGGGCAACCUGCCUGUAAGAUCGGAAUAACUCCGGGAAACCGGGGCUAAUGCCGGGUAAUCCUUCAUCUCGCAUGAGAGGAAGGUAAAAGAUGGCUUCUAGCUAUCACUUACAGAUGGGCCCGCGGCGCAUUAGCUAGUUGGUGAGGUAACGGCUCACCAAGGCGACGAUGCGUAGCCGACCUGAGAGGGUGAUCGGCCACACUGGGACUGAGACACGGCCCAGACUCCUACGGGAGGCAGCAGUAGGGAAUCUUCCGCAAUGGACGAAAGUCUGACGGAGCAACGCCGCGUGAACGAUGAAGGUCUUCGGAUCGUAAAGUUCUGUUGUUAGGGAAGAACAUGUACCGUUCAAACAGGGCGGUACCUUGACGGUACCUAACGAGGAAGCCCCGGCUAACUACGUGCCAGCAGCCGCGGUAAUACGUAGGGGGCAAGCGUUGUCCGGAAUUAUUGGGCGUAAAGCGCGCGCAGGCGGUUCCUUAAGUCUGAUGUGAAAGCCCACGGCUCAACCGUGGAGGGUCAUUGGAAACUGGGGAACUUGAGGACAGAAGAGGAGAGUGGAAUUCCACGUGUAGCGGUGAAAUGCGUAGAUAUGUGGAGGAACACCAGUGGCGAAGGCGACUCUCUGGUCUGUUUCUGACGCUGAGGUGCGAAAGCGUGGGUAGCAAACAGGAUUAGAUACCCUGGUAGUCCACGCCGUAAACGAU
RNAcentral lists this ribosomal RNA (800 nucleotides) under Halobacillus sp. JSM 101041. Its description in RNAcentral is "bacterial SSU rRNA". It matches the Rfam family "Bacterial small subunit ribosomal RNA", at positions 46 to 810 of the family's 1533-position model. The record is from RNAcentral. Lineage: Bacteria; Bacillati; Bacillota; Bacilli; Caryophanales; Bacillaceae.